Molecule: ribosomal RNA, 119 nt
Filed under: Petromyzon marinus (sea lamprey)
Lineage: Eukaryota; Metazoa; Chordata; Hyperoartia; Petromyzontiformes; Petromyzontidae
Source: RNAcentral
ACCUACGACCAAAUCACCCUGAAUAUGUCUGAUCUCGUCAGUUCUCGGACACAAAGCAGGUUUGAGUCUGGUUAAUAGUUGGAUGGGUGACCACCAGGGCUUGGCAGGUGUUGCAAGGU